This 1911-nucleotide long non-coding RNA is filed under the name Helianthus annuus (common sunflower). Its description in RNAcentral is "hypothetical non coding rna". The record is from RNAcentral. Lineage: Eukaryota; Viridiplantae; Streptophyta; Magnoliopsida; Asterales; Asteraceae.
GUUUGACACUUUAAUAGCUUGGUCCGGUUUAAAAGGAAAAACCUGUUGUGUAAAGUGAACCGGUCAUUUAACUUUAUGAUUUCUAUUUCUUUUCUUUUCAAAAUAUAUAGUCAAGUAUAGUGAUUAUAAAUCAUGAAACAAUCUUCCGUCAUUUUAAAUAUUUACAUAAAAAUUUAAAUAUAUAAUUUUUUAAACCUAUGGUGACUUUGAAAAGAAAAUACCACCAGGUGAAUCCGUAAAAACCAAACUAUUAAAUCGUCAAAUCAUUCUGUCCGGCUGAAUCUACUUACCCGACUAGUUUUAUCAUUCUUUGAAAUCGUAGUUAACAAUUCAACAACAUAUUACUUUUAUAGUGUAAAAAUCAAAUACAAAAUACUUUUAACGUCAGAAGUAAAUGAGACAUUAAUUGCAAAAAAAAAAAAAUUCGUGAUUUAACAGUAGUAAAAUAAUUAUAUAUUUACUAUAAUUACUCUAUAAAAUUACAUAAUUACUCUACUAGAUGUAAAAUCAUGAUUUUUUUUAUUCUAACACUAAAAUACGUGUUUAGAUGGAAAAAGAAAUAAAAAAAAAAAAAAUUCAUCAUUCUUACUUUAAAGGUAUUUUGUAUGUUAAGAUUUUUAUAAAAAUCUACCCAACCCGGCCAUGAUUCCUUAAAUCAAGAAAAAAAAACAGAGAAAAAUAACUUACCAAAAGUGGCGGUGGAAAAAGUCGGUGUACCGUCGAUGAAAUUCAGGCCACCGGAAACAAUCGACUUAGUCUUCCCAUCACCGUAGAUCAUAACAUUCCAAAACGAUUUAUCCAAAACAACAUUCUCCUUAUACACCCCUUCCUUAAUAUAUAUUACAAACACCGAUUUACUCUUCUUCGUAACCAUCGCCAUCGCCUCUUUAAUCGUUCUAACAUCACCACUUCCGUCAGCAGCCACCGUCACAUUAGGCGUCGGUCUAACCUCCUGCAACAACCUCCGUACACCCGGAGACACCCAUUCCGGAAAACCCGGUUCCGUUACCGUUACCGUUAACAUCUUCCUGUGAAAAUUAAUAUUCAACUUCCUUAAUAUCCCAGCUAUCUUGGAAACAAUAGCCAAACUGUUACUAGCGUACUCAGUAGAGUUCUUCAUUUGAGAUUUGGUGUCAUCAACAAAAGUUGAAUUUGGACUCAUUUCAUCUAACGCAUCUAUACACGUUUCUUGAUUUGUUAUAGCAGUGCUCAACCACGUUUUCAGGUCUUCAACUUUGGGUAAUGUAAGCAACUUCUCAUUGGAUUUCACAUCCAUUUCGGAUAAACAAUCUUGAAGAUACUCAACGGCGUCGUUUAACACCGUCCCGCAUACACCCAAAGCCAUUUUAACAGUCUGAUUGGUCGUUUUCGAACCCAAUUUAUCUGGCAACGUUGCCACGUCGGAUAGCGAUUUCAAAACUACCUGUAACGAUAGCUUUAGCAGCUCUUCGGGAUCAGUAGAGUUCGAUUUAUUAAUCUCGGAUAUGCUGUUGUAGCAGGAUUCUGGGUACAACGUUUGGCUGCAGACUGCUUUGAGCGAUUGGGCUGAGUCGUUGGAGCCGACGGUGGAGUCGUCGUUGUUUUUGUUGCGUUUGUGAAUGAGGGUUCCGGCGACGGCUCCGAUGAUGACGGCGAGGAGGAGGACGACGGAGACGGUGAGGAUAAUUAUGCGUUUGCGGGUUUUGCGGCGGAAUGCUUGUUCUUCUGCCGGGUCUACUUUGCCGUAACCUUUGAAAGAUUUGAUGGUAUCCAUGAUGAUGUUACUUGUGUUUGGUUUUUUGCGUUUGUGUUGGUGUUUUGAGUGUGUGUGAAAUGGUUUAUAUAAAUAAAGUGGGUGAUGCUCGCCAGUUGUGGCUUUUGCGUGUUAAGUUGAGGCCGGAAGGUGUUGAUGUAACAUCGAAUACACUUUGA